UGGGGAAUAUUGCACAAUGGAGGGAACUCUGAUGCAGCGACGCCGCGUGAACGAAGAAGGCUUUCGAGUCGUAAAGUUCUUUUAUAUGGGAAGAUAAUGACGGUACCAUAAGAUAAAGCCCCGGCUAACUACGUGCCAGCAGCCGCGGUAAUACGUAGGGGGCUAGCGUUGUCCGGAAUCACUGGGCGUAAAGGGUUCGCAGGCGGAAAUGCAAGUCAGGUGUAAAAGGCAGUAGCUUAACUACUGUAAGCAUUUGAAACUGCAUAUCUUGAGAAGAGUAGAGGUAAGUGGAAUUUUUAGUGUAGCGGUGAAAUGCGUAGAUAUUAAAAAGAAUACCGGUGGCGAAGGCGACUUACUGGGCUCAUUCUGACGCUGAGGAACGAAAGCGUGGGUAGCAAACAGG
Molecule: ribosomal RNA, 403 nt
Filed under: bacterium
Lineage: Bacteria
Also listed under: 1 other name
Description: partial 16S ribosomal RNA
Rfam family: Bacterial small subunit ribosomal RNA
Source: RNAcentral